This 552-nucleotide long non-coding RNA is filed under the name Panax ginseng (ginseng). Its description in RNAcentral is "long non-coding RNA (PGIN_LNC012763)". The record is from RNAcentral. Lineage: Eukaryota; Viridiplantae; Streptophyta; Magnoliopsida; Apiales; Araliaceae.
UCCCCUCACAUACACCUUGAAAUAAUAGUUAACAAAUAAGUAAAUAAAUAAAUAAAAUAUUUGUACAUAUAAAUUGGGCUCUGUUUUAGUUUUUAUUUUUUUAGUGUUCGUCCAUGGCGAAAGCCUGUACCACUAAAAAAAUCAUAGACUCAUGUUCCAUUAAAGCUAUCAACAAAAUCGUGUGUCAUAAGUCUCUUUACCUUUCUCUUCAUUUUUCUCUCUUCCCGCCGGCUUCUCCUCUGGACCUCCACUACUCCGCCGCUACACGGUCGCGAAUCUCCGUUGUCCAAAACGCCAAUGAGAAAAAGAAGAAGAUUCGCCCUACAAAAAAUUUAAAAAUAAAUAGAUGUAACUUUUACUGUUCUGAAUUUUUUUUUUAUGACUAUUUUGUUACUCACAAAUACUAAAAUGGCUACCUUUGUAUGAAUGGUUGGCUACCAACUGCAUCACAUUUAAACGAAAUUGGUAACUUAAUAAAACUGAAUUGGUUACCUUGGUAUGAAGGUUUGACUACCAACUGCACUAUGAAAAAACUGCAAGUGUGGAUGUGAA